RNAcentral lists this ribosomal RNA (408 nucleotides) under uncultured bacterium. RNAcentral describes it as "bacterial SSU rRNA". It matches the Rfam family "Bacterial small subunit ribosomal RNA", at positions 29 to 418 of the family's 1533-position model. The record is from RNAcentral.
AACGAACGCUGGCGGCGUGCCUAACACAUGCAAGUCGAGCGGGAAAAUUCCCUUCGGGGAGUGAGUACAGCGGCGAACGGGUGAGUACAACGUAGGUAACCUACCCCCGAGCCUGGGAUAACCUGUCGAAAGACGGGCUAAUACCGGAUAAGACCACGAAAGCUCCGGCUUUUGAGGUAAAAGGUGGCCUCUGCUUGCAAGCUACCACUUGAGGAUGGGCCUGCGCGCCAUUAGCUAGUUGGUGAGGUAACGGCUCACCAAGGCGAAGAUGGCUAGCUGGUCUGAGAGGAUGGCCAGCCACACUGGGACUGAGACACGGCCCAGACUCCUACGGGAGGCAGCAGUGGGGAAUAUUGCGCAAUGGGCGAAAGCCUGACGCAGCGACGCCGCGUGGGUGAUGAAGGCCUU